Mus musculus (house mouse) is the source of this 4793-nucleotide long non-coding RNA. RefSeq annotates it as predicted gene, 34741. The transcript is spliced from 4 exons. NCBI's taxonomy places the organism in Eukaryota, Metazoa, Chordata, Mammalia, Rodentia, Muridae. The record is from RefSeq and is a predicted model, not a curated record.
CAUCUUCAGUGGGAAAGCACAGCGUGUUCAUGUCAUGACAGGCUGGUAUACGUGAACAGCUUUGCUUUGAACGUGUUUCUUUUUGUCUAAGCCAAUCGUUUUGCCCUACAAGGAAGUUCUGCUGCUCACUCUUCUCAUAGAAUGAGCAUUCUAAGCCACACAGACAGCUUAGGUGACUCAUUACCCUCCUCUAUCCUAAACGACUGCUUCCUGGAAGUGGGGGCCAUGUUUGGAUGCUUCUCUGCAGCAGCCAGUGAUCCUGACACAGUGACCCAGUUUUAUAAAGAUGUUUCAGAAGUGAAUGCAUUGAUGGCCAACGUGCUUUUGUCGUGGAGAACCGCAGUGCGUCUGCUGCUGGCUCCUUCUUGGCAGGCUCUGGAUCACUGUCACUGUGAAGAGGCAUCUGGUGCUGUAUUGGCGUGUUUUACAGGUGCCCAAGCCUCCACUGCCUGAUUUCUGAAAUAGCCUUCCUGCUGAUGUACACACAGACAAGUGAAUCUGAGCUCCAGGGACCAGUCCCUUCCCAGCCUCCGACGUCUCCUGAUGUGUCUCUGGGCAGCAAUAUGUAAAGGGCAAUAAGAUCAGGUUGUGGUGACGAUGUGACAGGGUGUCAGCACCUAUGGCCAUACCCGGGUUGUGACAAGCACCUGGGCAAAUGUUCCCAGUGACCCCUGGCUGGUGACUGACAAACAACAUCAGUCAUCAGAACAGCGGGGCGCAAACCAGAAGGAAAUGUUAAAGGCAGCUGGAAGAAAGGCCCCCAGGGUGUCCUGCCACUGUGGGCCCCAGGGACCCUGUCAGAGGGGAAACUUUCAUAGGCAGAGGCAGAGAAAAUCAGGGCUGUGCUCACAGUGUAAGAGCCAAGGAAAUACUACCCAGUGUCCUGUCCUCCUGGGGACAAGACCUCUCAGGACAGUCUGAGAUUUGUAGGCAUUAUAAUGUCUCUAACUUUUGAAGGUCCAGUCCCACAUCAUCAAAAGUGUUUUACAAUAUGCUCACACCUCUAAUUACAUAUGCGUCAUAUAGAGUUACACUCAAUAGCCACCAUAUGCACUUUUUUUUGCAGGCAUUUAAUGACUACAUUUAUUUCUACUGUACUUUUGUUUUCCAAAAAUCUACCAGGCCCAUAUAUUUAAAAGACAUCUUUUUUUUUUGAGGAUCUUAAAUAAGCCUGAAGCACUGGGUCUGCAGUGCCUCAUGGGUAAAACACUACUGCCUCAGCAUGAGCCAGGGAAAGGGUCUAUAGCAGACUUCUCUGUGACAACUCAUGCUGUUCUCAGCUCAGCCCCUGGCUCCCCUCCCAACCCCCACCCCUCCUCCUCAGUGCCUCAAUGGUAUUAGAGUCCAUCCAUUGUCAGAUAUGGUUUAGACUCCAUGGUUAGACUCCAUUGCUGUCAAAUGUGUGGCCCAUACCCCACUGUAGUAUGAGCUGGGAUUCCUUCUUAGGUUUGUAUCUACAAGGGCUCAUUGAUCACAAGGAGAAAAUCAGCCGGUCCACACCAAAUACCCAUACAAUAGCAAAGGAUGUAAAUUCAUAGAGAUAGUUCUAGACUAGAGAUACCUGACAUGCAAAUUCUUGGGCUCCCAAAAUCAAUCUCAAGAGGCAGAAACUCUCACCUCCAGGCAAGCCCAGUGUACUCUGACGACGGUGCCGCCACACCAGAGCAGACCCCCUCAGACCACAGAUGUGUUAAGGACUUCUUAAGCAUGAGGAUUCAGGACCAGCGGGUCUUCAGUGGGACCUGAGAGUCUGCAUCUUUAAUAAACGUCUGUAGGAUGGCAGUGCUGGUCUACGGACCACACUUUGAGUAGCCAGAUACUAAGCUAUCCCAGCUCAUUGAUCACCAAGCAGAAAGAAAGAAACCACUGGCUGGUGGAGGGUGUCAGUUUCACCAUUCUCAGCCUCUUUAUGUGUCACACGACAGGAGACUAAUACUUGAUGAAACGGUCACGGAUAAAUGAAAUAUUACACACAUAGCAUGUGGAGUAUAAUGGGUGACCAGUAGGUUUUCCCCAUUCUCACCCUCUUCAUACAACUCAUCAAAUUUUCUUUUCUCGAAUUCAGAUGUUAAGUGUCUUAACUGUAAGGUAGCCAGUGAAGAGGAUAUUUGAAUGAAAUUAAAUCACCAAUGAAACAAACCUUUAAUAUACCCUCCACCCCUUUCUUGUAUCUAUCUAGGAUUUGGCAACCUGAACGCUAAAGUGAGGAAUGAAUUUACAACAGGUAGGAGUUAGGGGUAGCAGGGAAAAAGUUCUUUCUGGUAAGUGGGGCUCAGGCAGGUAGACCUAAGGGGAUGUUUGCAUUCGGGAGUUGACAGACAUUUACUGAGUACUUGCUGCCUGCUACGGUGCCCUGGCAUUUGGGUCUAGGCCUGUGAGGGACAGAUGGAAUGUGUCCACCCUGGACCCCUUGGUCAUUUGUCAUCCCACCAGUCCCUCAUUUGGACUGGCUGGGGAUUGUGCAGGAAGGAGGGGGACCUAAGUGUGUGUGUGUGUGUGUGUGUGUGUGUGUGUGUGUGUGUGUGUGUGUGCAUGUGUGUUGUGGGGAGGGGAAGUCAGGGUGAAAUUAAAUUUCUGUCUCUCCUUUCUGGAAUGUCAGCAAUGUGCUGAGAACAAGGUAGUGCAGCUGGCUGCCAGCUCUUUCCUCAUCUUGGUUCAGAGCUUCUCAGCCUCCUGGUAGUUCACAAGUCUUCUAGAUGCCCAGUCCUGUGUCAUCUUGUUUCUCAGAUGCCUCUUUUUUUUUUUAAGAUAAUCUCAAUUGUCCUGCUUCCAUCCAUCAUCUGCCAAGACAAUGCCUAAUGUGCCUGUUAGAACUUUCCUCCCAGAGGAGUGUCUCACACCAUUGAAUGGAACAGCAGUUUCUUUGUCAGAGUCGAACUGUGCCAAUCUGGGAAUUUUGGAGCAUGGACACCCAUACACAGCUCACCAAUCUCCCAUGACCAGCCAUCUAGUGCCAGCCCAACCCCUCCUUACUAUUUCUACUGCUGUUGAGACAGAUGGGCCUGAGUUUGCCAUGCUUGUCUCCAUAUUGAAUUAUUUCACAUUCACGGUUAUUCCAACUCCUUCCCAGCUUGUGUUCAUACAGUCUAAGGGCAGAAGAAGAGCCCUGGUGUGCUCUGGUGAAACAUUCUCAUUGUGUUUGAGAACUGAGAAUGGUGUAUAGAGUCUAGAGACUCUCUGGGAUAGAGAACAGGUAGAGAGAACUGUCCAGCAGAACUUGGGCAUUCAGUUAGGCUUGUGCCGUUUCAAUUUUAUUAUAAGCUCCAAUUUUUGAAAACCAAAACUCUGUUUACCUCAUUUUCUUUGAAGUAAAUAGGCCAGGUCCUGGAUCUACAGAUGAAAGGCUGCAGGUGAUUCUCCACUGGCUAACACUGAACCAGGAAGAGAUGUGCUCCUGUUUCUCUGGACUUGAAGACCUUGAGAGGCCCUACCACCACCGUGCCCUAGCACAGUGACCUAGCACAGUAGAGUGUGGCUGCAACUGAGGAGGCCUCGUGUGUGAGACUUUUACUAUUCAUGUGUUCUUGUUGCCGUAUUUGAAGGUUUUUUUUUUUCUUUAACCAAUGAAAUCUAGGACUCUCUGUAGAGCCUCCUUUGACCAACUGGAGCAAUGGCUUUGUGCUCUGGACUCUACCUUAUGUGAAUUGAUCCCCUGAGGACAGGCCUGCUGGCUUUCUACCACUCCCAAACAGUACUGCCACACAGAAGCACAUUGUGUGUAUUUACUCCACGAACCACUUCACCUGACACACAGACUCUUUGAGCCGGGCACUAUUGCUCUCCCCUGUUUACAGAUGUGGCCACUGAAGCUCAAAGGAGCAACAACUACCAACCACAACAAACACCCAAACAAGUUGAAUCCAGGUCUUGGCUGGUCCUGCACCACAUAGUUGUAAAACCUCUUCUAUAUUGCUGUGAGGUUUUGAACUUCUGGGCCUUAGGAGUCCUUGAUCUUCGGAACCAGAGAGCUUAUGACUUAUGCCACGGUUCCUUUAAGGUUAAUGGAAAGAGCUCUCGGCUCAUGGAAAACAAACUCCAUAAUCUGGGUUACUGGGUCAUUCCUUCUCCAGCUGGUUCUACUAGCUUUUGGGUUUUCCCUAUUGUCUGGCCAAGCCUGGCUCAUCUCCACUCAAAGCUGCCUAGGAUUCUAAGCUUGAGCUCCUCAGAGUGAUACAAAUAUACCUGAAUUGAGAACCAGCUGUAUGUGUCUGCAACUGUGCCCACCAUAGAAAUUUCAUUCUCGGGAAUCCAAGAGCCGUGUGAUGAUCAAGAUUGGUUCCUGCAUUUAUUUAACAUGGUUUUUGGACGCCUGUGUCAUCGGUCCUAUGUUGAACUGGAAAUAUUGAAUGGCCUCCAGGGCUUAAAAAUCUAGUAAAGGGGACAAACAUAAAAUCAAAUAACCCCCUAUAGGAUAAAUGGAUAAAGGAAGCCAGGGUGCUAAGAAGAGAGACACAUUGACCAUUGCACCUGAAACUGUCCAGCUGCAAAGAGCAAGGGAACUAAUUGCCUUACAAUACAGACUCAUAGAUACUAAAUAUUGGAUUUCAGCAAGUCUGGAGGGGCUGUCCAAGGAUGAAGAUACUUACUCAUCUACUCAAGUAAUUCUGGGACGGAGCCCUCUGAAAAACUAUCUGUAGAAAGAGGUCAGAGAAAAUGUUGCAAGGAAAAAAGUCAUUAUGUUAAAGAAUUUUAAGGAUUUGUCAGCAGGCAAGAGGAUUAAAGGGCUUUUAAAAGUUAUAAUUUAAAACUUGUUGGUUAUGGAAAUGAUCAAAUGUCAAAUAAAUAAAUUAAUU